GACGAACGCUGGCGGCGUGCCUAACACAUGCAAGUCGAACGGAAAACAUAGCAAUAUGUUUUCAGUGGCGAACGGGUGAGUAACGCGUAGACAACCAACCUUUUUGUGGGGGACAACACUUCGAAAGGAGUGCUAAUACCGCAUACGCUCCAGAUGCCGCCUGGUGUUUGGAGGAAAGGAGCUUUACGGCUUCGCAAAAAGACGGGUCUGCGUCUGAUUAGCUAGUUGGAGGGGUAACGGCCCACCAAGGCGACGAUCAGUAGCCGGUCUGAGAGGAUGGAAGGCCACACUGGGACUGAGACACGGCCCAGCCUCCUACGGGAGGCAGCAGUGGGGAAUCUUCCGCAAUGGACGAAAGUCUGACGGAGCGACGCCGCGUGAGUGAUGAAGGCCCUUGGGUCGUAAAGCUCUGUCAUCAGGGACAAACGGUCACGUCAGGAAAUGGGCGUGAAUUGACGGUACCUGAGAAGGAAGCCACGGCUAACUACGUGCCAGCCGCCGCGGUA
RNAcentral lists this ribosomal RNA (506 nucleotides) under uncultured bacterium. RNAcentral describes it as "partial 16S ribosomal RNA". It matches the Rfam family "Bacterial small subunit ribosomal RNA", at positions 28 to 522 of the family's 1533-position model. The record is from RNAcentral.